AUCCGCGUCGACUCGUACUAUUUGCGCUUAUCGCUGCAAUGUUGUUGUCCGUCACAAUGUUUGCGUCUCCCAAUCGGGUUAUGUAAGCUAAGCACAACAUAGCCAGCGUUAGCAGCUGUCGUUGACGAUUCGGUGAGUUCCGAGUAUAAUAAUCCAUCAAAUCGAGCUCAGUUCACGUAUGUACGCGUGGGAUUAUCGCGAGACAAUUUAUCCCGGGGCAAUGCUGCUUCAGUAGGAAAAGACAGCGAACAAUCCCAAUUCCGAAAUGGGACGUCUUCUAGCCGGCUAGCUGCUAACUCAAACCAAUGCUAAUCGGGUCUUUCCAGCCGUCGCACAGGCGUAGCUAAUUGCAGAUACGUUAUUGGAGAGUGCACGUUUGGGUGACUUACUUUGGUCUAUUCGUUCGUGUUUCUACAUAAACGAAGCGAAGGCAGGUCUCCUUUUUUUUUUUUUGCAGCAAGCGUGGACAAUGGAAACCACAGAAGUGACGUCGCAAUAGCAGCUGGAUAGAGUUGCCAUAGGGACCGACACAGCGGAGUUCUCAUUCACACAUUCGGAGACACUGAGUUAAGAACGAUGCACAAUGGGGCAACAAUAUCUGGUUAUCACAUGGCUUCGAAAAGGCAGCAGGUACUGCUGACUUCUUCGAUGGCGACAUUUUACAUUCUUAAGGUCUCAGGAGUGGACUCAUCAGAGAAAGGACUGAAUAUCCUGGAAAGUGCCUCUGGCUUGGUGAUCAGGGAACCUGAAACGGGUCAGAAACAGGGCCCAACGUGCCUGUUGGUAAUUCGGUCUCCGGGCAGACUGAAUCUAGAUGAGGACUGAGGUGACGCAAGAAGAAAGCGCAGGGAUGGAGCUUUUGGUCAACUGAAAACCACUGGGACAGAACCGCCCCGAGUCUUGAAUCAGAAAAGUCGACCUCAACAACAAAAGGCAAAUUGGGGUUAGGAUGUGUAAGCACCGUUGAACUAGUAAAUACUGUAACUUUUUCAGGAUAGCAAAUGCUGAUUCAGCUUCUGGCAUUCAUUCAAAUGGUGAAACAUACUGUGGGCAAAAAAAAAUGGCCUUAUGUCGCAGAAACAACACUGUGAUCCAAAUUAUGAGACAUAUAAUGUUUUGUUCAUUUUUGUACAUUUAACAAAGCCACCAAGAUGACAAGUUUUUUUUUCCAAAAUUGCUCAAAAUAGUAUUACAACUGAAUACUGUAUGCACAACAGUUUAAAAAAAAAAAAUAGGUUGCACAACCCCAAUUCCAAUGAAGUUGGGACAUUGUGUUAAACAUAAAUAAAAACAGAAUACAAUGAUUUGCAAAUCCUGUUCAACCGAUAUUUAAUUGAAUACACUACAAAGACAAGAUAUUUCAUGUUCAAACUGAUCAACUUUAUUGUUUUUAGCAAAUAAUCAUUAACUUAGAAUUUUAUGGCUGCAACAUGUUCCAAAAGAGCUGGGACAGGGUCAUGUUUACCACUGUGUUACAUCACCUUUUCUUUUACCAACAUUCAAUAAACCUUUGGGAACUGAGGACAAUAAUUGUUGAAGCUUUGUAGGUGGAAUUAUUUCCCAUUCUUGCUUGAUUUACAACUUCAGCUAUUCAACAGUCCGGGGUCUCCGUAUUUUACGCUUCAUAAUGCGCCACACAUUUUCAAUUGACUGCAGACAGGCCAGUCUAGUACCCGCACUCUUUUACUCUGAAGUCACGCUGUUGUAACACGUGCAGAAUGUGGUUUGGCAUUGUCUUGCUGAAAUAAGCAGGGGCUUCCAUGAAAAAGACGUUGCUUGGAUGGCAGCAUAUGUUUCUCCUAAACCUGUAUGUACCUUUCAGCAUUAAUGGUGCCUUCACAGAUGUGUAAGUUACCCAUGCCAUUGGCACUAACACAGCCCCAUACCAUCACAGAUGCUGGCUUUUGAACUUUGCGUCCAUAGCAGUCCGGAUGGUUCUCUUUGGACACGACGGCCACAAUUUCCCAAAACAAUUUGAAAUGUGGACUCGUCGGACCACAGAACACUUGUCCACUUUGCAUCAGUCCAUCUUAGAUGAACUCGGGCCCAGAGUUAAAUAUGAGUGUCACAGCAAAGUGUCUGAAUACUUAUGGCUCUGUGAUAUUUAAGCUCAUCUUUUUCAAUCAAUCUGCAAAAAAAUUCAACAAUAAAAAUUUUUUCUGUCAAUAUGUGUGUACAUUAAUGAGGAAAAUAAAUUACUUAAAUGAUUUUAGCAACUGGCUGCAAUAUAACAGAGUGCAAAAAUGAAGGGGGUUUGAAUACUCUCCGUCCCCACUGUAUGACAAAAAGUGUGCAAAUUCCAGCUUUAAUACACCUUUUACUAAUCUCUGAAUCAUACAAAACAUUGCUAGUUUGAUUUUCUUGAAAUGUAAUUUGCUUUUAUAAUUCUAUUUUUCAUCAGCAAAAAGAUCAUUCUUUUUCCCCAUGAAAACUGUGACUUGCUUAAGUGAUAUUUCCUUACCUAGACUUCGCUGUAAAACAAAUU
Long non-coding RNA from Phyllopteryx taeniolatus (common seadragon), 2485 nucleotides. RefSeq lists it as uncharacterized. The record is from RefSeq and is a predicted model, not a curated record. The transcript is spliced from 4 exons. Lineage: Eukaryota; Metazoa; Chordata; Actinopteri; Syngnathiformes; Syngnathidae.